Molecule: transfer RNA, 64 nt
Filed under: Sinelater perroti
Lineage: Eukaryota; Metazoa; Arthropoda; Insecta; Coleoptera; Elateridae
Description: tRNA-Leu
Rfam family: tRNA
About the family: Transfer RNA (tRNA) molecules are approximately 80 nucleotides in length. Their secondary structure includes four short double-helical elements and three loops (D, anti-codon, and T loops).
Source: RNAcentral
UCUAAUGUGGCAGAAUAGUGCAAUGGACUUAAGCCCCAUAAAUAAAGUUGAUCUUUUUUUAGAA